UGGCGGACGGGUGAGUAAUGUCUGGGAAACUGCCUGAUGGAGGGGGAUAACUACUGGAAACGGUAGCUAAUACCGCACAACGUCGCAAGACCAAAGAGGGGGACCUUCGGGCCUCUUGCCAUCGGAUGUGCCCAGAUGGGAUUAGCUAGUAGGUGGGGUAACGGCUCACCUAGGCGACGAUCCCUAGCUGGUCUGAGAGGAUGACCAGCCACACUGGAACUGAGACACGGUCCAG
This 235-nucleotide ribosomal RNA is filed under the name uncultured bacterium. Its description in RNAcentral is "partial 16S ribosomal RNA". It matches the Rfam family "Bacterial small subunit ribosomal RNA", at positions 96 to 334 of the family's 1533-position model. The record is from RNAcentral.